AUCCCUCUCAUUAGGUAACAGCAAACUUCCCUCUACCCCCACUCAGCUCCACCCUCUGCCAGGAAACUUUUACUUCCUGACUCCAGGAGGGUAGUGAGGCAUGUCAGUCACUGCCCCACAACUGGAGCCAGCAACUGGUUCAGAGGUGGCCAUGUGGCCCAACUUACAUCCAUGAUCUGGAAAGGUACAGCUCCCUUCCACCCUUUGAAUUUUGAGCUGCGGAAUGCUGCCCCGGGCUACUAAGGCAGAUAAAAGAAUGAGACUCAAAUACGCAGAAGCCAAGAGAGCAGAGAAGACCAUGGUGUUCUAUCCCGGAUACACAGUGCCUGGAUGGGCUCCAGCUUCUCCCGAGUGCCAGGUGCCCAUACACCCCACCCCGGGGUUGUCCUCCCUUCCAGUGAGUUUUGGACUAAGGCGGAUAAUUGGCAAAGGACAUUCUCUUCCCGUCCUAUGGCCCCUGUGAACACGGGCAGGGGAAGAAGGGCCAGUGAUUGUCUCACCCCAAACUCCUCCCACCCACCCCUACCAAGGUUCCUCUUCUCUGACUGCAAACCUCUGGGAAGCUCUCAGGCCUCACGGAGAAGACUGGAGGGCCGGAUCUGGUUGACUCUUUCCCUAGGGUCUGAAGGAUCUGCGCCCUGUGUUCAAGGACGACGCUGAAACAUUCUUUUCUGCGUGCCUCAUCUGAGGCCUCACAACUCAGGUGAGCAAGACUGUGUCCCUUUCACAUGGAGAAGCCGAGUUCCACGGAGGUUGAGUGAGGAGCCGGCAUCACACAAGGACUCGGAGGGGCUCCUCGAGACUCGCGGGACAGAGACGGCAGCCCCAGGAGCAUGAAGAGACUAUUCUCCAGUAUUCACAGUGAGAACUUGGUGGGCAUCCUGGAGGUGAAACACAAAAGUGUGAAGACCUCCUGAGACUGAGCACCCAAGAGUUUUAAACUGUCAAGCUUGUCUACACUGAGUCUCAACAAUUCAUGAAUUAUUACAUGUUUGUAUGUUGCUAAAAAUACUGGCUUCAUCUGUGGUCCUCUGAACCUGGGCUUUAGUUUCUAGAAUUGAGA
This 1063-nucleotide long non-coding RNA is filed under the name Pan troglodytes (chimpanzee). RNAcentral describes it as "long non-coding RNA NONPTRT016589". The record is from RNAcentral. Lineage: Eukaryota; Metazoa; Chordata; Mammalia; Primates; Hominidae.